GGGGGGUGGAUGGGGCAGGUGUGUGUGUGUGUUCCAGGUAUGGCUGUGGGUGUCUGUUGAGAUGAAGGAAACUGAAGCAGCUGCUAUAUGAGUGUGUGUCUGCCAGGAAGAAAGGAGAGGUGGACCCGUCCCGCUACCCAUCUCAGAUACUGUGCAGAGCAGAUCCAGUUCACUGAGGAGGCGGAGCUAAUUACUCAGCUACAGCACUACACCUCCGUAGACACCAGCUCUGAGGAGAUGGGAAACACAGCUCCCCAAGCGAAAGAGGCUUGCUAAGAGGCUGAAGCAAUAACGGUGAGUCUAAUCUAAUGGCCGGCCCCUAAUGAAUAGCUACAUAAACCAGCUUCUGUGGGGACCGGCUGGGGAGGAGAAGCUCUCCGACUGGGGCAGAGGCCACGGUGAUGUGGGGACCGGCUAGCGAGGAGAAGCUCUCCGACUGAGGGAGAGGCCACGGUGAUGUGGGGACCGGCUGGGGAGGAGAAGCUCUCCGACUGAGGGAGAGGCCACGGUGAUGUGGGGACCGGCUGGGGAGGAGAAGCUCUCCGACUGAGGGAGAGGCCACGGUGAUGUGGGGACCGGCUGGGGAGGAGAAGCUCUCCGACUGAGGGAGAGGCCACGGUGAUGUGGGGACCGGCUGGGGUGGAGAAGCACUCCGACUGAGGGAGAGGCCACGGUGAUGUGGGGACCGGCUGGGGAGGAGAAGCUCUCCGACUGAGGGAGAGGCCACGGUGAUGUGGGGACCGGCUGGGGAGGAGAAGCACUCCGACUGAGGGAGAGGCCACAGUGAUGUGGGGACCGGCUGGGGAGGAGAAGCACUCCGACUGAGGGAGAGGCCACAGUGAUGUGGGGACCGGCUGGGGCGGAGAAGCACUCCGACUGAGGGAGAGGCCACAGUGAUGUGGGGACCGGCUGGGGAGGAGAAGCUCUCCGUCUGAGGGAGAGGCCACGGUGAUGUGGGGACCGGCUGGGGAGGAGAAGCUCUCCGACUGAGGGAGAGGCCACGGUGAUGUGGGGACCGGCUGGGGAGGAGAAGCUCUCCGACUGAGGGAGAGGCCACGGUGAUGUGGGGACCGGCUGGGGAGGAGAAGCACUCCGACUGAGGGAGAGGCCACGGUGAUGUGGGGACCGGCUGGGGCGGAGAAGCACUCCGACUGAGGGAGAGGCCACGGUGAUGUGGGGACCGGCUGGGGAGGAGAAGCUCUCCGUCUGAGGGAGAGGCCACAGUGAUGUGGGGACCGGCUGGGGAGGAGAAGCUCUCCGUCUGAGGGAGAGGCCACGGUGAUGUGGGGAUGUAGGGUCUGUGCUGGUAGUAUGGUCUGUGUUGGUAGUAUGGUCUGUGUUGGUAGUAUGGUCUGUGUUGGUAGUAUGGUCUGUGUUGGUAGUAUGGUCUGUGUUGGUAGUAUGGUCUGUGUUGGUAGUAUGGUCUGUGUUGGUAGUAUGGUCUGUGUUGGUAGUAUGGUCUGUGUUGGUAGUGGUCUGUGUUGGUAGUAUGGUCUGUGUUGGUAGUAUGGUCUGUGUUGGUAGUAUGGUCUGUGUUGGUAGUAUGGUCUGUGUUGGUAGUAUGGUCUGUGUUGGUAGUAUGGUCUGUGUUGGUAGUAUGGUCUGUGUUGGUAGUAUGGUCUGUGUUGGUAGUAUGGUCUGUGUUGGUAGUAUGGUCUGUGUUGGUAGUAUGGUCUGUGUUGGUAGUAUGGUCUGUGUUGGUAGUAUGGUCUGUGUUGGUAGUAUGGUCUGUGUUGGUAGUAUGGUCUGUGUUGGUAGUAUGGUCUGUGUUGGUAGUAUGGUCUGUGUUGGUAGUAUGGUCUGUGUUGGUAGUAUGGUCUGUGUUGGUAGUAUGGUCUGUGUUGGUAGUAUGGUCUGUGUUGGUAG
This is a long non-coding RNA of Oncorhynchus keta (chum salmon), 1866 nucleotides long. RefSeq lists it as uncharacterized. The record is from RefSeq and is a predicted model, not a curated record. The transcript is spliced from 3 exons. NCBI's taxonomy places the organism in Eukaryota, Metazoa, Chordata, Actinopteri, Salmoniformes, Salmonidae.